This is a long non-coding RNA of Corvus hawaiiensis (hawaiian crow), 263 nucleotides long. RefSeq lists it as uncharacterized. The transcript has 3 exons. Lineage: Eukaryota; Metazoa; Chordata; Aves; Passeriformes; Corvidae. The record is from RefSeq and is a predicted model, not a curated record.
GGGACAAUCUCAGAGCCCGCAACCAGGAGCUGCAGCAAGAGUUGGAGGAAAGUGAGCAAGCGAUGUGGAGGGCAGAACACCAGAAGACCUCUCGAGAAACUGCCCUGGAGAAAGAGGCCAUUGCCCUGAAGGAAGAGGCUGUGACUCUUCAUCAGGAGGUGGCACCUCUGCAGAGGAAACUGGAGAGCCUGGAGAAGGAAAGGAAGGAUGUGCUGCGUGAACGGGAACUGUACGAGGAGCAGAUGGGAGAUCUGAAAAAGAAG